This 180-nucleotide unclassified non-coding RNA is filed under the name uncultured fungus. RNAcentral describes it as "sequence contains ITS1, 5.8S rRNA gene". The record is from RNAcentral. Lineage: Eukaryota; Fungi.
CAGAGUUUUCACAACUCCCAACCCUUGCGAACCGUACCCAUUCUGUUCUCGUUGCUUCCGGCGGGGGGGACGGGGGGGCCCGAAACGGCCUCCCCGCCCCGCCCGCCGGGGGCGGCGGGCCCUACGAACCUUUAUAUCUCAACCACUAGAAACCGUCUGAGAAAACAAACAAAAUAAUCA